CGCACGGGUGAGUAACACGUAUCCAACCUGCCGUCUACUCUUGGACAGCCUUCUGAAAGGAAGAUUAAUACAAGAUGGCAUCAUGAGUCCGCAUGUUCACAUGAUUAAAGGUAUUCCGGUAGACGAUGGGGAUGCGUUCCAUUAGCUUGUUGGCGGGGUAACGGCCCACCAAGGCGACGAUGUCUAGGGGUUCUGAGAGGAAGGUCCCCCACACUGGUACUGAGACACGGACCAGACUCCUACGGGAGGCAGCAG
This 255-nucleotide ribosomal RNA is filed under the name uncultured bacterium. RNAcentral's name for it is "partial 16S ribosomal RNA". It matches the Rfam family "Bacterial small subunit ribosomal RNA", at positions 99 to 354 of the family's 1533-position model. The record is from RNAcentral.